Long non-coding RNA from Cyprinus carpio carpio, 1551 nucleotides. Lineage: Eukaryota; Metazoa; Chordata; Actinopteri; Cypriniformes; Cyprinidae. The record is from Ensembl.
GAAAAAACCCAAAAGGCCAUAAAGAGGCAUGAAAUGCCAGGCCUUGGCUGGAAAAUCUCAAAACAAGAACACUCUUUGAAAAAGUAGAUGACUUCAGUAAGACAAGGCAAAAGCUGAAGGACUACAACAGAAAUGGAACGGCAGUCCUCCAGUCAGAGGAUGAGGGCUCCAUGGCAAAAAGGAGAAGAAAAGCGACACAUUACCCAGGAUUUGAAAACGGCAGUACUGACUCUGAAACUGAGCAGACUCCAAAAAGAAGACCAGAGUCUCGGCCUCGGCCUCGGCCUCAACCUCUCCCUAUUAGCGCUACCCUUCCUAGUCUCCCUCCAGCCCCCCUCUCGGACAUCGCAGUGGACAUGGGUCAGGAGUCUCUGGACAACACAGGACAGGGAACCUAUACAGACAUAAGCUGGAAUGUGAGGAGGGAGUCAGACCCCUUCAAUGUAAUCAAUAGCUCAGCGCACCAGUCAGCACCACCUCAACACUCAGUGCACCAGUCAACACCACCACCACCUCAACACUUGAGUCCAGUGUUUGACAUUAAUAUGGGCUUCCCCUAUUCACAUGCCAGCGGUGGUGGCGAGCCUGGAGGUCACCUCCUCUUCAAGCCAACCUUCAGAGUUGGCCAUGAAACAGGGCCAAUUCCUUGCACACGUGCAGUGGGCAAAUGCGCACUGACAGCAACUGCAACAGAAGCUGAAAUAUGGAGGCAUGCUAUAAGGUGGUUUGCCCUUUCGGCGGACAGGAGAGGAGGGCGCCAGGAGAUACUGGCGCGUCAGCAGCAGGAGCAGCAACAGCAACAGCUGCCACAGCACCCAGCUAGUGAUUUUGUUUAAGUGCAUGUUUUUUUAUUCACGUUGUGUUUAUAGCCUGUGCGUUUUUUUAUCCAUUAAUUCUGUGUUUGUUGUUGAGUGUGUUUUGUGUUAAUUGUUGACUUUGUUCAUGACUUUGUUGUUCAUUUUUUAUAAUUAAAUCUAUGUAUUCGUGGUCAUUAAUUCUGUGUUUGUUAACUUUGUUCACGUUGUUUUAGUAUGCGUUUUAAUCAUUAAAACGAUUUAUUUCAGCUAUAGCCUAUAGGCCUACGCAUUGCUCCAACUGAAACUAGCCUUUAUCAAGUCAAGUCAAGCUUUUUAUUUAUAGCCAAGGCCUUGUAGUGAAAAUGUUUUUCUGGACAUUUUCACAGUCUGUGAAAAUGUAGGCCUAUGCCGGUAGCAUAGGUUACUAUGAUACCCUAACUGACAAAAAUGCCGAAAAUAAGGCAAAAGGACAAUCCAGUGGUGAUUUAAGCGGAUUCGUAACACAUCCGGCACAGCUCCGGUAGGCGGAAUCGUUUCACGCACCCGUUACGCAUGUGUAACAGGAUGAUCAGGCGGUGCUGGAUCGGCGCUGGCACAUAUCCGCAACAACCCCUAAAAACAGACCAGAAACGGCUUCGGCCCGAUGUGCGUUUGGACUCAGGAACGAGUCCGUGAGGCGGAUGCGGGCCAGACCCGGCUCUAUCGUUUUGCGGUUGCGGCCCUGUUCCGUUACAGCGUCCAGUGGCUAUCUGGG